UGCCAGACUCCUACGGGAGGCAGCAGUGGGGAAUAUUGCACAAUGGGGGGAACCCUGAUGCAGCGACGCCGCGUGGGUGAAGGAGCACCUCGGUGCGUAAAGCCCUAUCGGCAGGGAAGAAAAGCGAACAGGUUCGCCUGGACGGUACCUGACUAAGAAGCCCCGGCUAACUACGUGCCAGCAGCCGCGGUAAUACGUAGGGGGCAAGCGUUAUCCGGAUUUACUGGGUGUAAAGGGGGCGCAGACGGCAGCGCAAGCCAGGAGUGAAAGCCCGGGGCCCAACCCCGGGACUGCUCUUGAAACUGCGCGGCUGGAGUGCAGGAGGGGCAGGCGGAAUUCCUGGUGUAGCGGUGAAAUGCGUAGAUAUCAGGAGGAACACCGGCGGCGAAGGCGGCCUGCUGGACCGUGACUGACGUUGAGGCUCGAGAGCGUGGGGAGCAAACAGGAUUAGAUACCCUGGUA
This 462-nucleotide ribosomal RNA is filed under the name uncultured bacterium. Its description in RNAcentral is "bacterial SSU rRNA". It matches the Rfam family "Bacterial small subunit ribosomal RNA", at positions 329 to 792 of the family's 1533-position model. The record is from RNAcentral.